AGGACUUUUACUACUCACACUUGUUUCUUCAACUAAUUGGGGGGCUGGGGAUUUAGCUCAGUGGUAGAGAGAGGGCUUACCUAGGAAGCACAAGGCCCUGGGUUCGGUCCCCAGCUCCGAAAAAAAGAACCAAAAAAAAAAAAAAAACACCUAAUUGGGGGUAUUUCCUAUUUUCUAGUCUUACUAAGACUAGAUGUAGAGCGGAUGUAGGUGAGGAAGGGUCUAGUUUAGAGGUAAAGGAUUUGUCAGACAUCUAUGGUGCCAUGGGUUCAAGCCCCAGCACUGAAAAGGGAAGGGGGGAAAUGGAGUGAGUAAGCAUGAACACGUGACAAAAUUCCAGCCGUUCAUCGAGUGUGGAUAGCUGACAGGCUUUGAGUCCUUAGCUCAGGCAAUGAGCAUAGAGUGAGUUCUCUGUGCACUCAACCCUGUGGCAAAUUGUCAUCAAACCCUGUCAUGUUGUGAUGCUGAGAAAGCCCGUGUGAAUUUUAGAACCUGCUUUCUCUUUUGUGAAAAUGAACAUAUUGUUGCUUGGGGAUAGGGCUCACUGAGCAAAGUGCUUGCCACACACUGAUCUGAACCUGAGUUCAGAUCUCCAGCCAUGAAAAAGCUGGGAGCACAGGUACAUUGGUAACCCCAGCUCUGGGGGCAGAGACAGGAGGAUUCCUGGAGCUCAGUGGCUAGCCAGGCUAGCUGAAUCAGUGAGGUGCAGGUCAGGAGAGACCCUGUCUCACAAUUUAAGGUGGAGAGUGACUGAGGAAGACAAUGGACAUCAACCUCUCACCUCCACAUGCAUGUGCACACACAUUCUAACAGACAGACCACAUUGUCUUGGUUAGGGUUUUACUGCUGUGAACAGACACCAUGACCAGGACAAUUCUCAUAAGGACAACGUUUAAUUGGUGCUGGCUUAAAGAUUCAGAGGUUCAGUCCAUUAUCAUCAAUGUGGAAACAUGGCAGUGUCCAUGCAGGCAUGGUGCAGACAGAGCUGAGAGUUCUAAAACCUCAUCUGAAGGCUGCUAGUGAAGACUGACUUCCAUACAACUAGGGUAAGUGUUAAGGUCACACCCACAGUGACAGACCUACUCCAACAAGGCCAUACCUACUCCAACAAGGCUAUGCCUCCUAACAAUGCCACUCCCUGGCCCAAGCAUAUACAAACCAUCACACACAUAGACAAAAUAUGUACACACACCCUCACAAGCCUCAAAACUACUCAGUGUAAGCCUUCUCUUCAGAUUGCUGAAAGUGGAUUAACACUGGUAAGGAGCUUGGAAACAGUGACUGACCUCAUCACCGUGUGCCUCACUGCCCUGACUUCUGUUCUCCCAGCUAAUCCUCAUACCACUCUGUCUCAGAGAAAACAAAGGUUAGAUUGAGGAUGAUCUCCACCUGUUUUUCCUAAAGCAUGGGCUGCUUUCUGUUCUGUGUUCUUGUGAAGUAUCCAGUGUCCGAUAAGGUGCUUAACACAGCUAAGAACUACAGCAACUUUGCAAAUGUUACCUCUGUCAGCCCUUUACCAAAAGAAAAGGAAAUUAGGUUCAUGAGAGUCUCUCAGAGUGAUCUGGAUUGGUAUGUUUUUCUUCCUAUAGUUCUGCUUUCCAAAGCUGAGGUGAUUUUAAGAAGUGGUUCACGUCCAUCCCUAAGAACUGUACCUACCUGUAGCAGCUGUGGGACAUCCUGCAGACAGGUGUGAAGCUAGACAAGAACAGAGAUUGUAACAGGAAUUUAGAAGCUGCUUUUUUAUUUUUCUAAAAAAUCAUCUAUUCCUCUCUUGGACCUCAAGAAAACUAAAUGCAGGACACAAAAGCCUGACAUCUCUGCCUCCAUUUUGUGUCUGUCUCCUGAGAGACAUCAGCAUGUGAACCAUUCACAGAUCUGUCUAACCCACCUCACCCCCUGCAAGGCUAAAGACACGGGCACGUGCAUUGUCUUAAACCUAUCACCAAAUUUAGUCCUCUUGGGUUCUAGGAACACCAAAGCCUGAUGGGACAGGGCACCCCCAACACACACACACAGCUAAGAGUGAUUUCCACAAAGGUGAGGUGAGGCUGCAUCCAAGGGCAGAAGUAAACAUCUCCUCCAUACAUCUUGGGAUCCACACCCAUGAUCCCAGCACUUAGACAGUUGAGGCAAGAGAACUGCCAGGAGUUUGAGGCCAUCUUGAGUUGCUUGAGUUGUAGGCCAGCCUGGGGUAUAGAGUGAGUUCUGUCUUAAUAAGCCCCAAUAAAUGAGAUCAUAUCAGUAAGUAUCAGUGUGUUGCCAAGCAGGGGCUGUGCUGGCCCACACCUUUGAUCCCAGCACUUGGGAGGCAGAGGCAGGGGGAUCGCUGAGUUUGAGGCCAGCCUGGUCUACAAGGCAAUUCUAGAACAGCCAGGGCUACAUCCUGUGUAGCUAGAGAAACCCUAUCUUAAACAACAAAACAAAAUAGAACAAAAACACUGUGUCCACUCGAGCAACUAAGACUUUUUAAAAAAUUAAUAUUUAUUUUAUAUGCACAAAAGUUUUGCCAGUGUGUGUGUGUGUGUGUGUGUGUGUGUGUGUGUGUGUGUGCGCGCGCGCGCGCGCGCGCGCGCCUGGUGCCUACCAAGGCCAGAAAAGAGCAUCAGAUUCCUGAACUGGUGUUGCUUAUGUUUGAGCCACAAUGUGAGUGCUGGUCACUAAAGCCAGGUCCUCUGCAAAAGCGACAAACGCCUUUUACUGCUGAGCCACCUCUCUAGCCCCAAAGACUUUUUCAGACCACUCUACAGAUCUAGAACUAAGACAAAGAUCAAGGAGACCACAUUGUGAACAGAUUUGCUUAUUAUGCCCUAAUUCUUUUAUUUAAACCUAAAGCCCAUGUCAGUCCCCAGAGCCAACCGGUUCCUUUUCCCACUGUAGUAAAUAACCCUGCCUUUCCACAGCCAUUAGUCUAAUUGUCUCACUGGGAUGGGUUGCCAAGGCUAGCCUGCUGGAGUUGCCAGAGUUGGGAAAUUUUCCCUUAAAAUUCUGAUUACAAGGCUUCUUAGCUGGGUGGCCCUCUUCAAGAGGCUUAGGGAAGACUCGUGUGUUAGCUCCUCCCUGCAAGGACCUUGUCUGGGGACUCGGCCUUGUACUUGGUAGAAAGAUGCACUGUAAUGCAUUUUGCUAGAUAAGUAGGUCCUCUUCCCUUCUACCCACCCUCUGUGAAGUGGCCAGACUGCAUCCUUGAGCUGCUGACUUUAGAAACCCAAAGAGAACUGGAGUGAGUCCAAACUGAAAUUGUGCACACAUCCCCUCUGCAGAAAAAGCAAGGGCUCCCUCCUCUGCUGCAGCAGGCCUUAAGGCUGCAGGCAAAUAGGAAACCAUCUCCUCCUGCUUAGCAACUAUUAUUCUAAAGAAUUCACUCUUUUUAAAUCUGGGCAUUAUCUGCAGAGGAAAAUCCCAGAAAUGAUCUAAAGAGUCCGAGGAUGAGUUAUUACAGAGUGCAGUGGCCAAGUGAAUCACUCCAGGUUCCGUAGGUCAGAGUGAUGUAGGUGUCUGGAACGAAUACAGCACAAAGAAAUCUAAGCACAGAAGAAACAAGCACAAGCCCCAGGCCACUUCUGUCUACAGCAUCCAGCAGAUCUAGCUCAAAUAUGCCCAAUGCAUUCGGGGGCAUCACUCCUUCCUCAACUCCACUAGCCCAUGGGAGACCAGAUGCUCAGUACUGCAGCAGUUUCCAAACAGCCAAACAACACGUUCAUUCCCUUUCUCUGUGACUAAAAUACAGCAUCUCAGAAUUCACCACUGGCUCAUUCCCAGGCAUCCUGAGUGGAAGAGCCAGGCAUCUCCAACCAGAGGAAAAGGACUGAGCCUUUACCUAGGGAGACUGCCCAUCUGACAGGCAUCCUGUCCUCAGAGGUUACUGAGCUACCUAAAGAUCCAUUUCUAAAAAUCCUAGUAAUGUGCACGGGACCAGAAGCUGUGGCCUGGAGCAGGCACUGGCUAGAAGGGAAGGAAAUCUAAUGCUGAGCUCUCAAGAGCUUUGAGUGAAUCACCAGCUGCCAACUCCCCACAAAAGGGAGAAUCCCACCUUACAGACCAGAAGACAAAUUGUGUGACGUUGUAAUAGCUUACCAAGGAAAACGACUCACAGGGGCCUCAGAGUGAUGUAGAAGGCUGGGUACAACAUGGGCUCUCUGCUUUAACCUUAUAAAGGUUGUCUUAAGGAGGAAGAAGCAGAUGUUUUCAACCUGGAGCUAGAUGUGUGCUCCAUUUGGUUUCAUUAUAUGUGGCCCUAAGAGAGUCCAUUUCUCCUUGGCCCUCACUGCAGACCCCAGUGAAGCUUGUGACUGUUUCGUAGCCUUGAGGAUCUAUCGGUCAGACUACCUCCUGUCCCUCUCACCAGACAGAACAUUAAGAGCCAUUUCCAUUUCUCAGAGCAGAGUAACAGAAGCCUUUUGAUUCUAGGGGGAGGAUACAUCAUAAACUAGGUCAGUGCCACAAGUGCUCCAAAGUGACAGAAUCCAGUUGCUUCCUGCUUAAGAGAUAAGCCUGACUCACCCCUCAGCAGUGAUGGGAAGGAAGCCUCAGACUGGGAAAUGGGACCGAAUCCUGCUGCCACUCUGCCAGGAGAUGUCCUAUGGCCUUGCAUGCUCUCUAGGCCCUUAGCCUGCCAUUGCUAAGAGUCAUGUGGGCUGGCUGGCUGGCUCCUCAGUAUUUCAGCUGCACUGUGUCGUCAGAUAACGAGAUCCCAAGUCCUGCUUCCACACCCUGGAACUCAGCAAUGAGCAGGUCUACACCCAGGACAUCACUCUUCACUUGAGAAGUUCUGCCUGUGCUCAUGGCAGAGUUCACGUGGGGAAUCCUGACCUGCUGAGCACGGUAUUUGAAUUCGCUACCUGAAGGGAGGGAAUCUGAAGGUCAUGGCUUAUGUUACAAGUCUGUGAUGGAGGCCGGCUCCUGUGGUACACAUGACAACAUCCCUGACACCUCAGAGGCCUCAGAGUAAAUGGUCACCCCACCGCCAGGCUGCACACCUCUCUUGAUAGCAGCUAGGCUGGAAUACACAUUUCUCUGUUGUUCCAGAAGUUAAGCGGUACACACUUCCUUAUCCUCAUUUUGAGCAUGCACAGGCCACCAGGGGGCCUCUUCCGACACCGGCACCUACCUCCCUCACUGACAAUCUGACUCCUUCUGGAAGAUUGAUUUGGAGUAUUUCCAGGAAAAUCUCAGCAAAUGUAGCGCUCAGACCGCUGAUCUGCAAAUGAAGAGAGCUGUCUAAGAGAGUGUGCUGAAGGCUGUAACUGGCAAGCAGGGCUUGGCCUUCCUUGCAACUCCAGUGGGAAAGGGGCUGACACUCAGCUGGCUUCUGAGCUCAGUCCCCACAGGGUGUGUCUGGCUGUUUGUAAAGGUGUCUGUUUGCUGAGACAGGCAUGGCCAAUGUUUCUGUAGGCAGCAGAUGUCACAAUCAGACCAAUACUGAUUUUCUGAUGCAAUUCAGGUUUGCCACCCUGGCCAGGUGCUGCUGUGUUAGAGGACUUUUAUUCACCUGAUGUAAUUAUUGUCUCCAACUUACUGCCUCAGUCGGCUAACUAACCUAGGCCUAGUCCUGGAAGCUCCUUCUCAUUUUCUGGCUUGUUCUCUCUGCAACCUGUCUCUGAAAAAACCGUCCCAGUAAAACUCCCUCCAUCCUUUUCCCCUCUCUGCACUUCUCUAUAAGCAGCCUCCCUUUCCUCUCUCCUUGUGAGAGUUGGGCAGAUCCUAUUCUGUCAAAUCUUUCUCUGAUUCGUCACUUUGUCUGCCACUCAAAUAGACAUCACUUUCAAACAUGGUGUUUCCUUUUCUACAAACUAACUUUACCUUUACUGUUUGGGAUUAAAGGUGUGUGUUAAGAAUGUGUCUGAAUUCCUGCCAGAGGGAUUAAAGGUGUGUGCUAAGGGCUGAACCACACUACCAGAACCAUUUUUCUUUUAGUAAAUCUCUGGGUUCACCGUGUGAUCAAAUAUCCUGCAACACUGGUGUCGGCUUUGUCUUGAGAAUCCGGAGGUGAGUCAGGUGUGUGGUGGAAAGGCACGCAGAGCACUGUGAGGACCCACAAGAGAAAUAACCACUUAUGAAUGGGGAAUGCCUGGGUGAAGUCUUGAAGGAAAGGGGGAUUAAAUGGGAGAAUCAGACAGAGCACAGACAGUUUUCAGGGCUGAGCGAGCAGCAGUCAGUAAAAUGUGAAUCACAUAACUGCAUUAGAAAGUCCAGACAAAUUCUGCAGCUGGAAUGAAAGGGACAUCAAGGAACAGCAGGAGGGGACGCACAGUGACAUGAGAGCUACUACCUGGGUGGGAUGCAUUAUAAGAAAACUGAUAGGUAAAGAUUUAAAAUUUCAGAGUACUUCAGUCUUUUUAAAAUUAGCAUAUUUAGAUUUAGAUGUUCCUCUGUCUACACUCUUACUACCUUGCUGAGAAGAUUCUUCAGUGGACUAAAAAGGGGAAUACAAUGGAAGUGUAAAUAAAAUUCCACACAAUGGAAUAUUACUUGGCCAUAAAAAUGAAUGAGGUGCCAAUCAUGCUACAAUAUGAAUGAACCUUGAAAACACACCAAGAGAAGCCAGAUGCAAAAGGCAUUUUAAUGUGGAACUUCUGGUUUAUUUAUGUAAGAUAGCCUAGGCUAGCCUCAAAGUCACAACAAUCCUCCUGCUUCGGCCUCCUAACUACUCAGAUUACAAGCAUGUGCUAUCAUACCAUGCUUUAUUAGAAGGCAACAAAUUGUAUAAUUCUGCUAAUACCAAAUACAAUAAAUCCAGAGAAAGAAAGUAGAUCCAUGGUUGCCAGGGGCUUAGAAAGAGGAGCAAUUACUGACUGACACAGGGCCUAUCUCUGAGGUAAUGAAAAUGUUCUCUAACUGACUAGUAAUGGUUGUAUAACUGAAUAUACAAAAACCCAUUGAGUGUAUACUUUUAACGAGUAAACUGCAAGGCAUGUGACUCCAGCAGUGAAGUUAAAAGACAGCAGGUGAUGUCAGAGCUGCUGGGCUCCUAACAACUCUGGGCACCUCUGUCAUGAUGUGGCUUGACCUUCCUAUCUCUGCAGAGAAGAAAAGGAAGACAUUACAGCUAAAGAAAGCAAGAAAAGCAAAUGGGAUGAGUAUGAAAUGAAAAAUAUGGGUCUUAAAGACUUUUACUUGGCAGAAGGUAAGGAAUCUGGUUAAUGAACGAAGACAAAGAAGGAUCAAGUACUAGGCUCAAAGGAUUACAGAUAGAGGGAAGCUGUUCCCUGAGAAAUCAGUUUUCCCUGCAGAGAGGUUAGGGUGUACAUUGUGGAGCAGCCAACAAAGACAUUACACAACUGGAUCUGUGUGUGUGUUACUGCUGUACAAGGGAGCUUGGGGAAUGGAUGUGAUUUCUCUUUUCUAAGAUUUAUUUAUUUAAUGUAUGUGAGUACACUGUUUCAGACUCACCAGAGGAGGGCAUCAGAUCCCAUUACAGAUGGUUAUGAGCCACCAUGUAGUUGCUGGGAAUUGAUCUCAGGACCUCUGGAAGAGCAGUCAGUGCUCUUAACUGCUGAGCCAUCUCUCCAGUCUUGGAUGUGAUUUCAUAACAGGAGAGUUAGAGGAGUCAAGAGCCCAGCUCUAGAGUGUAGACA
Rattus norvegicus (Norway rat) is the source of this 7574-nucleotide non-coding RNA. Lineage: Eukaryota; Metazoa; Chordata; Mammalia; Rodentia; Muridae. The record is from RefSeq and is a predicted model, not a curated record.